AUUAGCUAGUUGGUGAGGUAACGGCUCACCAAGGCUUCGAUCGGUAGCUGGUCUGAGAGGACGGCCAGCCACACUGGCACUGAAAUACGGGCCAGACUCCUACGGGAGGCAGCAGUGGGGAAUUUUGGGCAAUGGGCGCAAGCCUGACCCAGCAACGCCGCGUGAGGGAGGAAAUCCUUCGGGAUGUAAACCUCGCAAGCAGGGGAAGAGUGCUUUCGACCUAAUACGUCGAAAGAAGGACGGUACCCUGCGUAAGCCACGGCUAACUACGUG
RNAcentral lists this ribosomal RNA (273 nucleotides) under uncultured bacterium. RNAcentral's name for it is "partial 16S ribosomal RNA". It matches the Rfam family "Bacterial small subunit ribosomal RNA", at positions 240 to 507 of the family's 1533-position model. The record is from RNAcentral.